GAUGAACGCUGGCGGUCUGCUUAACACAUGCAAGUCGAACGAACUCUUCGGAGUGAGUGGCGGACGGGUGAGUAACGCGUGAGAAUCUGCCUGUGGGUCGGGGACAACCACUGGAAACGGUGGCUAAUACCGGAUGAGCCGAAAGGUAAAAGUAUUUAUCGCCCACAGAUGAGCUCGCGUCUGAUUAGCUUAGGUUAGGUAAAGGUAAAAGCCGUAACCGAAGGCGACGAUCAGUAGCGUGGUCUGAGAGGAUGAGCAGCCACAC
RNAcentral lists this ribosomal RNA (265 nucleotides) under uncultured bacterium. Its description in RNAcentral is "partial 16S ribosomal RNA". It matches the Rfam family "Bacterial small subunit ribosomal RNA", at positions 28 to 313 of the family's 1533-position model. The record is from RNAcentral.